RNAcentral lists this long non-coding RNA (812 nucleotides) under Sorghum bicolor (sorghum). Its description in RNAcentral is "long non-coding RNA (SBIC_LNC018104)". The record is from RNAcentral. Lineage: Eukaryota; Viridiplantae; Streptophyta; Magnoliopsida; Poales; Poaceae.
UAGGGUUUAGGGGUUAGGGUUCAGGGGUUAGGGUUUAGGGUUUAGGGUUUAGGGUUUAGAGCUUAGGUUUAGGGUUUAGUGUAUAUCAUUUGCUAAUAAUUAAAUAUAUCAUAAUUGUACCACUAAUUUAAACCACUAAUUGUACCACUAAUUAUAGCACUGAUAAUUGUACCACUAAUAGAUCCAUCUCGACAUACCUGUAGUUUGAAGGCGGUGAGACGGCGGAGAGACGGCGGUCGGUGCGUAGACUCGACGGGGACUUUAGUAACGACGGUAGAGAGACGUCGAUCUGGAAGAAGGAAGAAAUAAGAAACAAAUAUUAUAUCACAUUUACAUAUUGUGGCACAUGCAUGAAGCACUAAAUAAAAAAACAAAAACUAAUAACAUAGUUUGUCUGUAAUUUACAAGACAAAUCUUUUGAGCUUAGUUAGUUUAUAAUUGGACAAUAUUUGCUACAAAUAAACGAAAAUGCUACAAUACCAAAAUAGAAAAUCUUUUCGGAACUAAACAAGGCCUAAGAAAAAAUAUAUAAUGUAAUACAAAUAAUAAUUAGAGCAAAGCAUAAGAAAAAAAAUAAAUACAUGUAACAAAGAAAAAAUUUAAAGAACAUCGUAUAUAUAUUACGUGAACAGUGCAAUUAGUUUUUAUUUUCGUCUAUUUGCAAUUUAGGAAUAGUACUACUUUCGUUUGUAUUUGACAAAUAUUAUCCAAUCAUGUACUAAUUAGACUCAAAAGAUUCGUCUCGUCAAUUCCGACCAAAUUGUGCAAUUAGUUUUUAUUUUUGUCUAUAUUUAAUACUUCACGCAUGCGUC